CAGCCCUGGACCCAUCAGGCGCCCCAACUCAGGUGAAGUAGGACAAGAAGUUUGCAAAUUCUAUUGGGGAUCCAAGUGCACAUAAGCUCCUGGAAGGCACAGGCUCCUCUCAGCCAUUUCCUGAAGACCGUAGUGCCUUGACUCGAAGGAGAGGUUCCUACCAGCAAAAUCCCGCGUUGGAGUGAAGGCUGCUGAGGGAUACUUGAGCAGACCUGCCAGGUCCCUGGAGGCCGAAAGUGGCUGCUCUCCCAAGGUGUUCCCUCUAGGCAAGUGGAAGAGACACGGCUCCAGCAAAGAAGUCCUGGGAGUCCUGCAGCUGUCUUGGAGCAGGCCGUCUUUGUCACAGGAAGAACCACUCAAGCGUCCCUUUGACACUGGGUUCUGAGGACAGGGG
RNAcentral lists this long non-coding RNA (394 nucleotides) under Equus caballus (horse). RNAcentral describes it as "lncRNA (ENSECAG00000053024.1)". The record is from RNAcentral. Lineage: Eukaryota; Metazoa; Chordata; Mammalia; Perissodactyla; Equidae.